This 445-nucleotide ribosomal RNA is filed under the name uncultured bacterium. RNAcentral's name for it is "bacterial SSU rRNA". It matches the Rfam family "Bacterial small subunit ribosomal RNA", at positions 330 to 792 of the family's 1533-position model. The record is from RNAcentral.
UCCAGACUCCUACGGGAGGCAGCAGUGGGGAAUAUUGCACAAUGGGGGGAACCCUGAUGCAGCGACGCCGCGUGAGUGAAGAAGUAUUUCGGUAUGUAAAGCUCUAUCAGCAGGGAAGAAAAUGACGGUACCUGACUAAGAAGCCCCGGCUAACUACGUGCCAGCAGCCGCGGUAAUACGUAGGGGGCAAGCGUUAUCCGGAUUUACUGGGUGUAAAGGGAGCGUAGACGGUUAUGCAAGUCUGAAGUGAAAGCCCAAGGCUCAACCAUGGGACUGCUUUGGAAACUGUAAAACUGGAGUGCAGGAGAGGUAAGCGGAAUUCCUAGUGUAGCGGUGAAAUGCGUAGAUAUUAGGAGGAACACCAGUGGCGAAGGCGACUUUCUGGACUGUACCUGACGCUGAGGCGCGAAAGCGUGGGUAGCGAACGGGAUUAGAUACCCCAGUA